GAAUUUAAGCAUAUAAUUAAGCGGAGGAAAAGAAACUAACAAGGAUUCCCUCAGUAAGGGCGACUGAAGCGGGAAUAGCUCAAGAUGUGAAUCUGCGCUGAGUGCGUCGAAUUGUGGUCUGUAGACCGUGACGUCAUCUGCCGGGCCAAGUCCCUUGGAAAAGGGCAGCAGAGAGGGUGAGACUCCCGUCCGCCUGGUGGAACGAGUCACGUGUCAACGAGUCGAGUUGUUUGGGAUUGCAGCUCAAAGCUGGUGGUAAAUUCCAUCUAAAGCUGAAUAUUGGUGGGAGACCGAUAGCGUACAAGUACCGUGAGGGAAAGAUGCAAAGAACUUUGAAAAGAGAGUUAAAGAGUACCUGAAAUUGCUGAAAGGGAAGCGAAGGAAACCAGUGUGUUGGCAGCCAUAUUUCCCUCGCCACUUGUGGUGUGGGCGCUGUGUCUGUCAGUGGUUCCGCUUGGUUGUGGCUGGUGGAAGAGCGCAGUCAGAGUUGAUGUCUGUUGCUGGCACCGGUGGUGACUGAGCGAGACGAAAUGGUUUUCUUUACCCCGUCUUGAAACACGGACCAAGGGA
This 570-nucleotide ribosomal RNA is filed under the name Nitzschia fonticola. Its description in RNAcentral is "eukaryotic LSU rRNA". It matches the Rfam family "Eukaryotic large subunit ribosomal RNA", at positions 30 to 673 of the family's 3401-position model. The record is from RNAcentral. Lineage: Eukaryota; Bacillariophyta; Bacillariophyceae; Bacillariales; Bacillariaceae.